AGAACGAACGCUGGCGGCAUGCCUAAUACAUGCAAGUCGAACGAACUCUUCGGAGUUAGUGGCGCACGGGUGCGUAACGCGUGGGAAUCUGCCCCUCGGUUCGGAAUAACAGUUGGAAACGACUGCUAAUACCGGAUGAUGACGAAAGUCCAAAGAUUUAUCGCCAAGGGAUGAGCCCGCGUAGGAUUAGCUAGUUGGUGAGGUAAAGGCUCACCAAGGCAACGAUCCUUAGCUGGUCUGAGGAGUGUAGAC
RNAcentral lists this ribosomal RNA (252 nucleotides) under uncultured soil bacterium. RNAcentral describes it as "partial 16S ribosomal RNA". It matches the Rfam family "Bacterial small subunit ribosomal RNA", at positions 26 to 305 of the family's 1533-position model. The record is from RNAcentral.